Molecule: ribosomal RNA, 868 nt
Filed under: Salegentibacter salinarum
Lineage: Bacteria; Pseudomonadati; Bacteroidota; Flavobacteriia; Flavobacteriales; Flavobacteriaceae
Description: bacterial SSU rRNA
Rfam family: Bacterial small subunit ribosomal RNA
Source: RNAcentral
UCGAGGGGUAACAGAGGAGAGCUUGCACUCUUGCUGACGACCGGCGCACGGGUGCGUAACGCGUAUACAACCUACCUUUUGGCGGGGAAUAGCCCAGGGAAACUUGGAUUAAUGCCCCAUAGUAUGGGAAUAUCUCCUGAUAUUUUCAUUAAACAUUUAUGGCCAUUAGAUGGGUAUGCGUCCUAUUAGUUAGUUGGUAAGGUAACGGCUUACCAAGGCAGCGAUAGGUAGGGGUCCUGAGAGGGAGAUCCCCCACACUGGUACUGAGACACGGACCAGACUCCUACGGGAGGCAGCAGUGAGGAAUAUUGGACAAUGGGCGAGAGCCUGAUCCAGCCAUGCCGCGUGCAGGAAGACUGCCCUAUGGGUUGUAAACUGCUUUUACAGAGGAAGAACCACUCCCACGUGUGGGAGUUUGACGGUACUCUGCGAAUAAGGAUCGGCUAACUCCGUGCCAGCAGCCGCGGUAAUACGGAGGAUCCAAGCGUUAUCCGGAAUCAUUGGGUUUAAAGGGUCCGUAGGCGGGCAGUUAAGUCAGUGGUGAAAGUCUUCCGCUCAACGGGAGAACUGCCAUUGAUACUGAUUGUCUUGAGUUAUUAUGAAGUGGUUAGAAUGAGUAGUGUAGCGGUGAAAUGCAUAGAUAUUACUCAGAAUACCGAUUGCGAAGGCAGAUCACUAAUAAUAUACUGACGCUGAUGGACGAAAGCGUAGGUAGCGAACAGGAUUAGAUACCCUGGUAGUCUACGCCGUAAACGAUGGUUACUAGCUGUUCGGAUCGAUUAAGAUCUGAGUGGUUAAGCGAAAGUGAUAAGUAACCCACCUGGGGAGUACGUUCGCAAGAAUGAAACUCAAAGGAAUUGACGGGGGC